Molecule: long non-coding RNA, 431 nt
Organism: Stegastes partitus (bicolor damselfish)
Lineage: Eukaryota; Metazoa; Chordata; Actinopteri; Pomacentridae
Exons: 2
Source: RefSeq, a predicted model, not a curated record
GUGAUUGGUCAGAAUGACUGAGAGCCGAGGACGCUGCUGCUAACAGCGUUAGCUUCCAACAGUGGAGCUAAACUCUACAGCCAUGAUGGGAAUCAUUGGGAACAUCUGAUGUGAUCCUGAGAGCUACGUAGAACAUGAACGUUCGGCUGCCUGAGCUGGAAGAGUCUUCUCACCUUCUUCAUCCCUGAUAGGAAGAGCAACUUAUGUCAUCCUCAUCUAUUCCAGUAACAACAAUAAUGCUGCACUGCCGAUUCAGCUGCCUCUCUUCAUCAUGCACACUUGUUUUGUGACUGUUACGUAAUAACGCUUCACUGUAAGCUGGACAACACAUUUAUUUUACCCAUGUAUUACAUACUUUUACACAUCUUUUCAGUUUAGAUUUGUAGUUUUUAAAUGUGCAAUAAAGGCAUUAUUGAACUUCUUGCCCUGAA